AACCUUUACACUGCACGACAGUGCGAUAAGGGAAUCCCAAGUGCGUAGGCAUAGAGCCUACGCUUUUGUCCACCGUAGGGAGGUGGACGAAUAAGGGCUGGGCAAGACCGGUGCCAGCCGCCGCGGUAAUACCGGCAGCCCGAGUGAUGGCCGAUCUUAUUGGGCCUAAAGCGUCCGUAGCUGGCCGCGCAAGUCUAUCGGAAAAUCCACCCGCUCAACGGGUGGGCGUCCGGCGGAAACUGCAAGGCUUGGGACCGGGAGGCUUGAAGGGUACGUCCGGGGUAGGAGUGAAAUCCCGUAAUCCUGGACGGACCGCCGAUGGGGAAACCACUUCAAGAGAACGGAUCCGACAGUGAGGGACGAAAGCUAGGGUCUCGAACCGGAUUAGAUACCCGGGUAGUCCUACCUGUAAACGAUGCCUGUUACGCGUGACUCCCACUACGAGUGGGUGUUGUGCCGUAGGGAAGCCGCUAAGCAGGCCGCCUGCGAAGUACGUCCGCAAGGAUGAAACUUAA
This 515-nucleotide ribosomal RNA is filed under the name uncultured archaeon. Its description in RNAcentral is "bacterial SSU rRNA". It matches the Rfam family "Archaeal small subunit ribosomal RNA", at positions 345 to 859 of the family's 1478-position model. The record is from RNAcentral.